RNAcentral lists this small nuclear RNA (107 nucleotides) under Patiria miniata (bat star). Lineage: Eukaryota; Metazoa; Echinodermata; Asteroidea; Valvatida; Asterinidae. The record is from RNAcentral.
GUGCUAGCUUCGGCUGCACAUAUACUAAAAUUGGGACGAUACAGAGAAGACAUAGCUUGGCUCCUGCGCAAGGAUGACUCGCUAAUCGUGAAGCGUUCCACAUUUUU